UGAGAGCGGNCGUACGGGUGCGGAACAGUGUGCACUGCCUUUAUCUGGGAGAUAGCCUUUCGAACGAGAUUAAUACCCCAUAAUAUGUUGAUGGCUCAUUCGACUUUGAAACUCCCGGUGGAUAGAGAUGGGCACGCGCAAGAUUAGAUAGUUGGUGAGGUAACGGUCACCAAGUCUACGAUCUUUUAGGGGGCUGAGAGGGUGAUCCCCAAUGUAUGAGAAUGGACCAGAAUCCUUACGGGAGGCAAGCAGUGAGGAAUCAUUGGACAAUGGGUGAGAGCCUGAUCCAAGCAUCCCCGGUGAAGGACGACUUGCCCUAUGGGUUGUCAACUUCUUUUGUAUAGGGAUAAACCUACCCUCGUGAGGGUAGCUGAAUNGUACUAUCACGAAUAACGCAACCGGAUAACUCCUGUGCCCAGCAAGCCGGGUAAUACGGAGGGUGCAAGCGUUCAUCCGGCUUAUUGGAGUUACAAAGGGUCCGUCAAGCGGAUCCUGAAACGCCAGAUGGUGAAAACUCACAAGCUAACAUNUGUGGAAANUGCCACCAGNCUGGACGGGCUCGGAGUCGGGUAGAAGCAUCGGGAACAAACGACAGUAGCA
RNAcentral lists this ribosomal RNA (600 nucleotides) under uncultured bacterium. Its description in RNAcentral is "bacterial SSU rRNA". It matches the Rfam family "Bacterial small subunit ribosomal RNA", at positions 89 to 680 of the family's 1533-position model. The record is from RNAcentral.